RNAcentral lists this ribosomal RNA (253 nucleotides) under uncultured bacterium. RNAcentral describes it as "partial 16S ribosomal RNA". It matches the Rfam family "Bacterial small subunit ribosomal RNA", at positions 524 to 776 of the family's 1533-position model. The record is from RNAcentral.
GACGGAGGAUGCAAGUGUUAUCCGGAAUCACUGGGCGUAAAGCGCGUGUAGGCGGAAGCCUAAGUCCGAUCUGAAAGCCCCUGGCUCAACCAGGGAUCCGGACCGGAAACUGGGCUUCUUGAGGACGGCAGGGGAGUGUGGAAUUCCUGGUGUAGCGGUGAAAUGCGUAGAGAUCAGGAGGAACACCCAUGGCGAAGGCAGCACUCUGGACCGGACCUGACGCUGAGACGCGAAAGCGUGGGGAGCGAACGGG